Pelobates cultripes (western spadefoot toad) is the source of this 297-nucleotide non-coding RNA. The record is from the annotation of a GenBank genome assembly. NCBI's taxonomy places the organism in Eukaryota, Metazoa, Chordata, Amphibia, Anura, Pelobatidae.
GCGGUAGGUCAAAACUUUAAAGUCCCAUAACUCCCGAACCCUUUAUCCGAAUGGGCUGAUUUUCACAUAUGUUGUUCCUCCAGACUAGGGCUAUCUGGAGAUACUGGAUUUGUGGAUGUACCCCAAGUAUUUGGGGUACAUCCAAAACUCGGGGAAAACUAUGUACAUGUUAAUUAUGUUAACUGGUUAUCUGAGGGGAGGGAAUCUGUGGGUUGUAACCAUUAUGCUAUUGGUAUACUGUAAAUCCCUCCCUUGCAUGGGAGAAUCCUUUAUAAGCCUGUUGUGUGAAUAAAUCAG